RNAcentral lists this ribosomal RNA (1550 nucleotides) under Klebsiella pneumoniae. Its description in RNAcentral is "bacterial SSU rRNA". It matches the Rfam family "Bacterial small subunit ribosomal RNA". Lineage: Bacteria; Pseudomonadati; Pseudomonadota; Gammaproteobacteria; Enterobacterales; Enterobacteriaceae. The record is from RNAcentral.
AAAUUGAAGAGUUUGAUCAUGGCUCAGAUUGAACGCUGGCGGCAGGCCUAACACAUGCAAGUCGAGCGGUAGCACAGAGAGCUUGCUCUCGGGUGACGAGCGGCGGACGGGUGAGUAAUGUCUGGGAAACUGCCUGAUGGAGGGGGAUAACUACUGGAAACGGUAGCUAAUACCGCAUAAUGUCGCAAGACCAAAGUGGGGGACCUUCGGGCCUCAUGCCAUCAGAUGUGCCCAGAUGGGAUUAGCUAGUAGGUGGGGUAACGGCUCACCUAGGCGACGAUCCCUAGAUGGUCUGAGAGGAUGACCAGACACACUGGAACUGAGACACGGUCCAGACUCCUACGGGAGGCAGCAGUGGGGAAUAUUGCACAAUGGGCGCAAGCCUGAUGCAGCCAUGCCGCGUGUGUGAAGAAGGCCUUCGGGUUGUAAAGCACUUUCAGCGGGGAGGAAGGCGAUAAGGUUAAUAACCUUGUCGAUUGACGUUACCCGCAGAAGAAGCACCGGCUAACUCCGUGCCAGCAGCCGCGGUAAUACGGAGGGUGCAAGCGUUAAUCGGAAUUACUGGGCGUAAAGCGCACGCAGGCGGUCUGUCAAGUCGGAUGUGAAAUCCCCGGGCUUAACCUGGGAACUGCAUUCGAAACUGGCAGGCUAGAGUCUUGUAGAGGGGGGUAGAAUUCCAGGUGUAGCGGUGAAAUGCGUAGAGAUCUGGAGGAAUACCGGUGGCGAAGGCGGCCCCCUGGACAAAGACUGACGCUCAGGUGCGAAAGCGUGGGGAGCAAACAGGAUUAGAUACCCUGGUAGUCCACGCCGUAAACGAUGUCGAUUUGGAGGUUGUGCCCUUGAGGCGUGGCUUCCGGAGCUAACGCGUUAAAUCGACCGCCUGGGGAGUACGGCCGCAAGGUUAAAACUCAAAUGAAUUGACGGGGGCCCGCACAAGCGGUGGAGCAUGUGGUUUAAUUCGAUGCAACGCGAAGAACCUUACCUGGUCUUGACAUCCACAGAACUUUCCAGAGAUGGAUUGGUGCCUUCGGGAACUGUGAGACAGGUGCUGCAUGGCUGUCGUCAGCUCGUGUUGUGAAAUGUUGGGUUAAGUCCCGCAACGAGCGCAACCCUUAUCCUUUGUUGCCAGCGGUUAGGCCGGGAACUCAAAGGAGACUGCCAGUGAUAAACUGGAGGAAGGUGGGGAUGACGUCAAGUCAUCAUGGCCCUUACGACCAGGGCUACACACGUGCUACAAUGGCAUAUACAAAGAGAAGCGACCUCGCGAGAGCAAGCGGACCUCAUAAAGUAUGUCGUAGUCCGGAUUGGAGUCUGCAACUCGACUCCAUGAAGUCGGAAUCGCUAGUAAUCGUAGAUCAGAAUGCUACGGUGAAUACGUUCCCGGGCCUUGUACACACCGCCCGUCACACCAUGGGAGUGGGUUGCAAAAGAAGUAGGUAGCUUAACCUUCGGGAGGGCGCUUACCACUUUGUGAUUCAUGACUGGGGUGAAGUCGUAACAAGGUAACCGUAGGGGAACCUGCGGUUGGAUCACCUCCUUACCUUAAAGAA